UACUACAUACCUACUAGCACAAUGGUUUUCAGUUAUAAAAUAUACAGGAUUCAUCUAUAGGUCAACUCUGGCUUGGGCCUGUUAUCCAAGCCUUAGCGCUUCAUCAAGUAGAAAUGUCUGAUUUCU
Long non-coding RNA from Athene cunicularia (burrowing owl), 126 nucleotides. RefSeq lists it as uncharacterized. NCBI's taxonomy places the organism in Eukaryota, Metazoa, Chordata, Aves, Strigiformes, Strigidae. The transcript is spliced from 4 exons. The record is from RefSeq and is a predicted model, not a curated record.